GCAUUCGUAGCUCAAUUGGCAGAGCAGGACACUCUUAAUGUCAAGGUUGAAGGUUCGAUUCCUUCCGAGUGCA
This 73-nucleotide transfer RNA is filed under the name Bacteroidota bacterium. Its description in RNAcentral is "tRNA-Lys". It matches the Rfam family "tRNA". Rfam says of the family: Transfer RNA (tRNA) molecules are approximately 80 nucleotides in length. Lineage: Bacteria; Pseudomonadati; Bacteroidota. The record is from RNAcentral.